CCUACGGGUGGCAGCAGUGAGGAAUAUUGGUCAAUGGACGAGAGUCUGAACCAGCCAAGUAGCGUGAAGGAUGACUGCCCUAUGGGUUGUAAACUUCUUUUAUAUGGGAAUAAAAUGUUCCACGUGUGGGAUUUUGUAUGUACCAUAUGAAUAAGGAUCGGCUAACUCCGUGCCAGCAGCCGCGGUAAUACGGAGGAUCCGAGCGUUAUCCGGAUUUAUUGGGUUUAAAGGGAGCGUAGGUGGAUUAUUAAGUCAGUUGUGAAAGUUUGCGGCUCAACCGUAAAAUUGCAGUUGAAACUGGCAGUCUUGAGUACAGUAGAGGUGGGCGGAAUUCGUGGUGUAGCGGUGAAAUGCUUAGAUAUCACGAAGAACUCCGAUUGCGAAGGCAGUUCACUGGACUGCAACUGACACUGAGGCUCGAAAGUGGGGGUAUCAAACAGGAUUAGAUACCCGGGUAGUC
This 460-nucleotide ribosomal RNA is filed under the name uncultured bacterium. RNAcentral's name for it is "partial 16S ribosomal RNA". It matches the Rfam family "Bacterial small subunit ribosomal RNA", at positions 338 to 795 of the family's 1533-position model. The record is from RNAcentral.